AAGUGUAGCAAUACAUUAGUACAGCGGCGCACGGGUGAGUAACACGUGGAUAACCUGCCUCGAAGUGGGGAAUAACACCGGGAAACCGGUGCUAAUACCGCAUACUCUGACGAGAUCUGUGGAUUUUGUCAGCAAAGGAGCAAUUCGCUUUGAGAGGGGUCCGCGGCUGAUUAGCUAGUUGGUGAGGUAAUGGCUCACCAAGGCCACGAUCAGUAGCCGGUCUGAGAGGACGGUCGGCCACACUGGAACUGAGACACGGUCCAGACUCCUACGGGAGGCAGCAGUGGGGAAUUUUUCGCAAUGGGGGCAACCCUGACGAAGCAACGCCGCGUGGGUGAUGAAGUAUUUCGGU
RNAcentral lists this ribosomal RNA (352 nucleotides) under uncultured bacterium. Its description in RNAcentral is "bacterial SSU rRNA". It matches the Rfam family "Bacterial small subunit ribosomal RNA", at positions 72 to 422 of the family's 1533-position model. The record is from RNAcentral.